CUCGGAAAAGCCACUAAGCUUCAGCUUAAGAAAAACCGUACCGCAAACCGACACAGGUAGGCAGGGUGAGAAUCCCAAGGCGCUUGAGAGAACUCGGGUGAAGGAACUAGGCAAAAUGGCACCGUAACUUCGGGAGAAGGUGCGCCCUUUGGUGUGGUCACGUGCGUGACUGAGCAUCGAAGGGUCGCAGUAACCUGGCCGCUGCGACUGUUUAACAAAAACACAGCACUCUGCAAACACGAAAGUGGACGUAUAGGGUGUGACGCCUGCCCGGUGCUGGAAGGUUAAUUGAUGGGGUCAGCCGCAAGGCGAAGCUCUUGAUCGAAGCCCCAGUAAACGGCGGCCGUAACUAUAACGGUCCUAAGGUAGCGAAAUUCCUUGUCGGGUAAGUUCCGACCUGCACGAAUGGCGUAACGACAGCGGCGCUGUCUCCACCCGAGACUCAGUGAAAUUGAAAUCGCUGUGAAGAUGCAGCGUUCCCGCGGCAAGACGGAAAGACCCCGUGAACCUUUACUAUAGCUUUACACCGAACGUUGAGUUCUUCUGUGUAGGAUAGGUGGGAGGCUAUGAAACCAGGACGCUAGUUCUGGUGGAGCCAUCCUUGAAAUACAACCCUGAAGUGCUUGACGUUCUAACCUAGGCCCGUAAUCCGGGUCAGGGACCGUGUAUGGUGGGUAGUUUGACUGGGGCGGUCUCCUCCCAAAGAGUAACGGAGGAGCACGAAGGUACGCUCAGCGCGGUCGGACAUCGCGCACUGUGUGCAAAGGCAUAAGCGUGCUUGACUGCGAGAUCGACGGAUCAAGCAGGUACGAAAGUAGGUCUUAGUGAUCCGGUGGUUCUGUAUGGAAGGGCCAUCGCUCAACGGAUAAAAGGUACUCCGGGGAUAACAGGCUGAUACCGCCCAAGAGUUCAUAUCGACGGCGGUGUUUGGCACCUCGAUGUCGGCUCAUCACAUCCUGGGGCUGUAGCCGGUCCCAAGGGUAUGGCUGUUCGCCAUUUAAAGUGGUACGCGAGCUGGGUUCAGAACGUCGUGAGACAGUUCGGUCCCUAUCUGUCGUGGGCGUUGGAGAUUUGAGGGGGGCUGCUCCUAGUACGAGAGGACCGGAGUGGACGUUCCGCUGGUGUUCGGGUUGUCAUGCCCAUGGCAUUGCCCGGUAGCUACGAACGGAAGUGAUAACCGCUGAAAGCAUCUAAGCGGGAAGCACGCCCCAAGAUGAGAUCUCCCGAGAGCUUGACUCUCCUAAAGGCACCAUCAAGACUAGGUGGUUGAUAGGUCAGGUGUGGAAGCGCAGCAAUGCGUUGAGCUAACUGAUACUAAUGAGCCGUGAGGCUUGACCU
RNAcentral lists this ribosomal RNA (1338 nucleotides) under metagenome. RNAcentral describes it as "bacterial LSU rRNA". It matches the Rfam family "Bacterial large subunit ribosomal RNA", at positions 1608 to 2925 of the family's 2925-position model. The record is from RNAcentral.